CGAAUGCUUUAUAAAAGAUUCAUCGCUGCCUCAAGCAGCCUGCCACCCUGCCAUAUUCCGGGUUGUUGAUGAGAUGUUCAGGUGUGCACUCCUGGAAACCGAUGGGGCCCCGGAAAUCAUAGCCACUAUUCAGGUGUUUACGCAGUGCUUUGUAGAAGCUCUGGAGAAAGAAAGCAAGCAGCUGCGGUUUGCACUCAAGACCUACUUUCCUUACACUUCUCCAUCUCUUGCCAUGGUGCUGCUGCGAGACCCUCAAGAUAUCCCUCGGGGACACUGGCUCCAGACACUGAAGCAUAUUUCUGAACUGCUCAGAGAAGCAGUUGAAGACCAGACUCAUGGGUCCCGCGGAGGUCCCUUUGAGAGCUGGUUCCUGUUCAUUCACUUUGGAGGAUGGGCUGAGAUGGUGGCAGAGCAGUUACUGAUGUCGGCAGCCGAACCCCCCACGGCCCUGCUGUGGCUCUUGGCCUUCUACUACGGCCCCCGUGACGAGAGGCAGCAGAGAGCACAGACUAUGGUCAGUUCCUGGCAUGGUGCCCUGACUGCUUGGUGAGCAAGACGAAAGAAAGUCAAGAAAUUUCCAUUCCGCCCAUUUGGGUUUGUGUGAAAUCGAGUGUAAACUCGGCCACUGCCUAGCUCCCUCUCUCAGGGGCCAGUCCUUACCCCUUUCUGGGGGUUGUUUC
RNAcentral lists this small RNA (680 nucleotides) under Pongo abelii (Sumatran orangutan). Its description in RNAcentral is "processed transcript". The record is from RNAcentral. Lineage: Eukaryota; Metazoa; Chordata; Mammalia; Primates; Hominidae.